Molecule: ribosomal RNA, 465 nt
Filed under: Vreelandella stevensii
Lineage: Bacteria; Pseudomonadati; Pseudomonadota; Gammaproteobacteria; Oceanospirillales; Halomonadaceae
Description: partial 16S ribosomal RNA
Rfam family: Bacterial small subunit ribosomal RNA
Source: RNAcentral
CCUACGGGAGGCAGCAGUGGGGAAUAUUGGACAAUGGGGGCAACCCUGAUCCAGCCAUGCCGCGUGUGUGAAGAAGGCCCUCGGGUUGUAAAGCACUUUCAGUGAGGAAGAACGCCUGGUGGUUAAUACCCAUCAGGAAAGACAUCACUCACAGAAGAAGCACCGGCUAACUCCGUGCCAGCAGCCGCGGUAAUACGGAGGGUGCGAGCGUUAAUCGGAAUUACUGGGCGUAAAGCGCGCGUAGGUGGCUUGAUAAGCCGGUUGUGAAAGCCCCGGGCUCAACCUGGGAACGGCAUCCGGAACUGUCAAGCUAGAGGGCAGGAGAGGAAGGUAGAAUUCCCGGUGUAGCGGUGAAAUGCGUAGAGAUCGGGAGGAAUACCAGUGGCGAAGGCGGCCUUCUGGACUGACACUGACACUGAGGUGCGAAAGCGUGGGUAGCAAACAGGAUUAGAUACCCCUGUAGUC